Struthio camelus australis is the source of this 5705-nucleotide non-coding RNA. Lineage: Eukaryota; Metazoa; Chordata; Aves; Struthioniformes; Struthionidae. The record is from RefSeq and is a predicted model, not a curated record.
GGACUCUAGGAGUCCCUUCCGCUCAUUUGUAGAGAACAUAGUGCUGCUUAUCUGCUGUGAUCGAUCCAGUUUCGAAUUGACUCGAGCUUCAUACUGGCCCAGGAUGAAGGAAGUACUUCCUGAAGAAUAUAGGAAUGGAAAUGACUUUGAGGUAUAAAUACAUAACAAGAGGUCCCAAAACUGAGAGACCUGCAAGGACAAAUAUGUAUUCAAUGGGACAUGAAGAAACUGGUCCUUGAGAGACAGUUUUGGACCAGGGAUGAAGUAGCCCAGCUUAGCAGUAGCGCCACAUGUCCAACAUGUUCAACACUGCCGCAAAUCAGAGAAUCGAUUCUUCCACUGUUUUGCCAGGUACAAGUCUCCUGCUGUGACUUUGCCAGUGCUUCUUUUUUUCAUUGUUGGCUGCUGCAAGGUAGUACAUGAAGGUAAAGAAAAGAAACUGAACCAGUUAUGCGGUCCUCUAAAAAGGUUCAGUUUGAGAGUGCUGUGAGUGGCUUAAACCAAAUUUGUUUAUACAGUCUGGUGCUUUGACAGUCUGUAGCUGCGAUUUCUGUUUCAGCUGACCCUGCUCCUAUCUUGUUCAUUCUUGCUAUAUCUUCCUUACGUAUUUUCUCUUCCAGGCCCAAAUAUUCCCUCUCUUUUCAAUGAAAAAAUGUUAGUACUUUUCCUUUCCCCAUCAGUGUUUUAAUGGCAAAUAUCAAAUAACAGGAAGAAAUUUCCUAAUCUAGAUUAAAUCACCAUUAGAUUUGGAUUAUGUUAGAUGUCCUUUAAUCAAGAUACAAGUUGAAAAUAGUGCCAUCAUUUUAGGAGGGUGAAGUCCAUGUUUCAUGGCUACAGUGCAAAUCAUCUCUGGGUUCCUGUUGCCUUGCUUUGUUGUAGUCUUAGUGAUCUUCGUCUGUGUUUGCUCGCUCCCCUAAAUAUGUGUGACUGUAUAACACUACUUUUGCUUGUCAUAGAGUCAUGUCAAAAAGAAUCAUUGAUGUCUUAUUAACAUGUCAGACUCCCCGUGUUCAUGGAGCAUCUCCUAUUGUGCAACAGCCUUCAUAGUUCUUAAAUGCCAAACAAAAAAGUUAAUUCAUAUGUGUUGCUAUGUCCUAAGCGCAGAAAGAAAAGGAUGAUUUUAGCAGCACAUCCCGUCAUGUUGGCAGUUUCCAAAAUUCACCUUUGAAGAUGAUCUGGGAAACAUCUUAUUUCUUCUUCAGGAUGUAUAACUCUAGCACUGUCCAGGAAGAUUUGCUGCUGCUUCUUUUGCAUUCUUGUCAUUGAUACUAUUAGAGCGGCCUGCGCGUUUUACUCCUACCUGACACUCGUUGUUUUCCCUGUCUGAUCCUAGGCAUACAUAUGCUUUUGCUUUUCAUCUCUGAAGUUCACUCAGGUUUCUUUAUUGUAUUCAGAUGUUGGUGCAGAUAAAAAUCCACUCCUUGCAAAAUGCAAGUUUUGACUGGCAGGAGAAAAUCAGUUUUUAUUUUGUUAAAGCUCUUAAUAAUGCCAGUACUACUAUUGAAUUUUAUCCACACUUAACAGAUAUCCUGGGAAAGAAGACAAAGAUGUCAUUCUUUGCCAGAGUGUGCUUCUAAAAGGCUUUCUCCCAAGUGUUCUUCCCCAAAUCUUUUCCUUCCAGGCAACUGUGGGAUAAGAGAUGCUACUGCAGAAAAACACUGUAUUAAAGGUAGGAAAUUGUUAGGCAUAAUUAUCCGAACUGUACGCUAACACUGCUGUUCAAAUAACAAGCCAAACAUUUUUCUUUCUGAAGCAUGCUAUAUGUUUCUCAGCUACCCACUGAUAUUGUAUUCAGAAUGCCAUAGGCAUAAACAUUUACCAUCAAACCAGAAGAAAUGCAUAGGCCUUUUGUAGACUUAUUCAUGAAUUGUUACAUCUGUAUUAAGGUCCACCAAUAAGCUUUGAGCUUUGCAUACCAGGAAUACAUGAUCACUGAAAAAACAAGCAUGUGUCCCUGCCCUGAAAAUAAGUGAUUUAAGCAUGAACCAAACAGGUAGGAGAAGAAUUCAUCUCUCUUCCCAGGGUUUGAGAGAGCGCCAAACAGAGUUAACAGGAAGCUUCCCCUUGACUUUAAUAGAGCUGGAAAGGACCAGUGAAAUGGAUUUGCACUGAUGAUGGCAAGGACGUUACGCUUGCUUUGAACAACAUACUUAAAAGAAUCGAGUCCUUAAGUCUCAAUAAGGCAGUAUGAGUUAGGGAUUAAAUUCUGCCUCAAUUUCCGGUUUAAUAUGCUGGCUUUACAUUGGUGCUGUGUCUUGGUACACUGAAAACAAGUGAAUUUAUUUUAGAGAAGCUGUAAUAAAGUCAUGAUUCAGCCUGAGAUAAGAUUGAUCUAGUUGGAUCUUGUCCUUACAGAAAGCUUUCCAAAGAGGACCAGAAAGAUGGCUGAACAGAUGCGCCUGCUGCCACAGCAGGAAAGAAACGUGAAAACAGACUGUUGCCACCUGGAGCAAUUGCCCUAAUGCAGCCUAGUAACAGCUAGCAUUUAUAAGGCCUGUUUUGUUUUAAUUCUUCCCCUUGGUCACAGGGAGAGAGGACGUGCAAAAUAAUGGAAAGAUUCUGUGCUGUUAGGCCUACUGGGAGAAGGGUUUUCCUUAUUAUCUGGGCUACUGCUGGGACAGCCGUUCAUAAAGUUGAUGAGGAGACAGAAGACUACUAUGAUAUUUCAGCCAAAAAGGAAGGAAGAUUGAGGUCCUUCCUAGAAAUUUAGAAGAGCAUUUUACAGUGUUUUGCUGUAAGAAGUGCAAACAGAAAAGCCCACUGUUGGGAUUUUGGUGCAGUGAAGAGGUUUCUGAGGAGAAUUUAAUCCGAGUGUUCAGGGACUUGAUCUGAGUUUCUGGUCCUGCCUUGUAUUUCUUUUGUCACAUUGGCAAUUAAUCUCUUAUUGCUUAGGUUCUUCUGUAGAAAGGGAAUUACACUUCUCUGCCUCACAAGCAGAUGACUUCAAGAUGACUUCAAGAGAGAUUUUUUGGUGUCCAGAUCCAAAGGCGAUGGAGCCCCUAGCGCAGAAAUGGAAAACUGAGGUAGCAGCGUGAGUGACACAUCCACUUUAAUGUUUGCUACCGACAGUUUCUACAAAAAAUGCUUUCACUCUGCUCUCUAUCCAGGCACCCGCCUUCUCGUGAAAGCUCAGUGUUCCUCUGUCCUUUCCCAGUUUAUCAUCUGACAUUGCUCACUAUCAAGUUUCACAUUCCUGUUUGUCUCCACAGGUAGCAACAAUGCAAUCCGUUCUGCGUUAGGCAAAGAGACCAGGAAUUUACACGUUGUCUUUAAUCAGCAGGGCAGCUACAAAAGAGUUUUCCUUCUGGGAAAUAGUAUUGUUGACCAAGCAGCACUGCCUAGUUGUGUGCAGACUGUCUGUAGGCUGGAGCUCAGAUGCAUACCAUAAGCCAACCUCUAAGCAAUAUUUUCAGUCAGGGAAAGGUUUGAAUGAGAGCUUGAGGCCUAGGGAGUCAUGAAACCACAGAUGCAGCCUGCGAUACUCUGCCUGCCUCCAGGUUCAGAGCCAAUCUUCCAAAAGAGACCUGACGAGCCAGUUUUGAUUUUUCCUGUCAAGUUGCUCAAAACAUUUUUUUGAAUCAUUGCAUUAAUGAUGGCAGAUCAAGACGCUUUUAAUAAGUUCAGUCCAUCCGAAGUUUUAACCUUCUGUCGUAUUUCAUUACUUUUUAUUCAAUUUGUCAGAAUUUAUCUUAAGGAUUUAAUUGUUAAGCCUCAAGCCUAAAGCUUAUAUACAUAUAUGUAGAAUCAUACAUACUGGGUUAAUGUCUUAAGUUCAAAGUCACAGUUUACCUUGCCUCACUUUUAUAUAAACUGCUGCAGCUCUUAUCAGCCUGCUAGCUGUAAAAAACUUCUCCCACUCCUCUUUACGGAAGCCAAAGAAGUGGAAGGUGCUCAGCGCUGCAGGACAGGCGAGUCUGUCACUGUACUAUUGCUAAAAUAAAGGUAAUUAUUUGCUGCAGUAUCUCUUGCCAAUAUCUUCGUUUAUAUAAAGCAUGCGGCAGUACCCCGUGGUAUAUAUGGAGAAGAUGCCUAGAGCUGUUAUCAGGACCUAGCUACUUAGUGAUUUCACUGCUGUACUCAGACACGCUUAAUUUUUUUCGGGCUUAACGUUUUAAUAGCAUGCCACCAUUAAUAGAUUUCAUGCCUGUUGAGGACAAAAGAUUAGGCAGGACAGACUUUUUAGUCUGAACCAGUAGAGCCAUUCUUACCUAUACUUUAUCUUUCUCUGUAAAAGAUGAGGCCUAAUUCAUCCUUCUGGAAAUAUUGUCCCUAACCACACACUGCUGUUCUGUCUCUGCAAGAGAAAUUGCACUAAGGAGUCUCAGUAAGACUUGGUACUUUUUGCAAGUACUUAUUUAAGGGACAUUAUAUAUCAAAAGAUCACUGAAUUUAUGGCAGUUUGGUAAUCAAGUCCAUUUGAAUUAACAUGAUUAAAACUGCAAUAAAGGAGGUUUCUAUGCACCAAACUUCUCAGCAAUCCUGUUUCCUGCUGUGUGUAUUGAACACGAGAAAGUCUGCCUUCAUGUUCUUUUCAAGUUACUCCACAAGAGAUUUAAAGAUUUACUUGGAUCACGUAUUUUAUUGCUUAAACGCAUACCUGUGCAUGGCUAAAUCACACUUAAAGUUAGCCCAGUGUCUUUCAACUUUUAGCCAUAAUAAUAAAAGCUGCACUUCCCCACAGAAACCUGUCCUUUUGCUCUCAUUUUUCUGUAUUUUUCUCAAGGCUUUUGAUAUUAAUUCUCCCAGGAGUGAACACUACAAAGAUGUAACAUCAGCUUUGAUGUAAUUUAUCGUAAACUCAGCCCAUGGUUCGUGCAAGAAGCCGCAGAGACUGACAGAAAGACUCUGUGUCAUUCUUAGAUUUCCAUGGAUACCAUAUCCUGAGAUAUGCUGUGGGAUCACCUGGUAUUUAGGGCUGGUUGCUUAACCUUUGAAUCUAGGCAUCAUACUGGUACAAAAUGGUAAGGCAAUAAUUACCAGAAUUAGAAAAAAUAAUAGGAGUUUAUUAAUGAAUCAUCUUCCCCCCUCAAGCUGUACUGUAGCAAGAAAUAAAUCACAGUAAUAAUGAACAGCGUUAUUAUUGGACCAUAUUAUGAACACUAGUGAUUUUGUACCAAGCUUUUACUGUCAAGGGAAUGGUUCAUUAACCGCAAAGAACACUUCACAUUAGGGAUUCAGUUUAUCUGGCCAAUUUAGACAUUGUUUAAGUAAUUUUUAAUUAAAAAUGGGAUUCUGCACUUCGGAUGGUGUACUGGUUCAAAGGAAUUAUAAGCAAAAUUACUACAAUCAAGUUGUUAGUAAAUGUUUUUGUUCCAGAUAAAGGUUGGACACUGGUCAAUCUGUUAAGCAGCCAUUCUGGCCUGCCCUGCAGUUUUCAUUCUAAUUAGUGGGGGGGUGGAUGGGAGGAGAGGAGAAAGACAAAACCUUUCCAUAACAUACAAAGUUUUUAUUUGGCAAGAGGUGAGUAAAGGGAAUUCCCUGGCAAGUGGGGAAGGAAGAAUUUUGCUUGUAACCUUAAUAUCAAAACCUGAUUUCUUUUGAUCAUGACAGCUGCAUGUCACGUUAUUUGCUGUGCUUAAUAUCCUUUCUGGGAUGAGACUGAAGCUGAGGGAAAAAGAAAUGUCCCUUUUAUUGUUCACAGUAUUUUGUCCCAUUAAUGAAAAUUGCCUUUAGUCUGGAGUGGAGCCCUAGCCUGCCAAGCACCA